RNAcentral lists this ribosomal RNA (121 nucleotides) under uncultured bacterium. Its description in RNAcentral is "partial 16S ribosomal RNA". It matches the Rfam family "Bacterial small subunit ribosomal RNA", at positions 628 to 748 of the family's 1533-position model. The record is from RNAcentral.
UGAAACUGGUGAUCUUGAGGGCAGGAGAGGACAGUGGAAUUCCAGGUGUAGCGGUGAAAUGCGUAGAAAUCUGGAGGAACACCAGUGGCGAAGGCGGCUGACUGGACUGCCCCUGACGCUG